This is a non-coding RNA of Misgurnus anguillicaudatus (oriental weatherfish), 1960 nucleotides long. The record is from RefSeq and is a predicted model, not a curated record. NCBI's taxonomy places the organism in Eukaryota, Metazoa, Chordata, Actinopteri, Cypriniformes, Cobitidae.
UGCGUGGAUUAUAAUAGCCUACAUUUGUAUUCUCUUUAAAAAAUAAUGAUUAAAAACUGGAUUGAAGAGACAUUCAGUGACACGCAAAGUGCAGAACUUUUCUUUUUAGAGGCCCACCCAUCAAAUACAUUCUUCCUCCGUCACUGAUGCAUUUUAAUUUACCAUUUUAUUUUUUUUCGGACAACCUUUUCGGGAAUAAAUGGAGGUAAGAAAUUUAAGACUUGGGUUAAUUAAAUUUAAGACCUAGGGUGAAAAUCUGGCCAUUUUUAAGACUUUUUAUGGCGUUAAAUUUAACUUUCUAAAUUUAAGACUUUUUAAGACCCCGCGGGAACCCUGAUAUAAUAGCUUCGUCCAUUUUGGCCAGUGUGAAGCGCAUGAACCCUAUUACGCAUGCGCAAUGUUUCAGACGUAUGGCAAGUGUAAACACGCAAAUCGGAUAUGCGUCGCAAUUGAAAGAACGUGUAAACGCACAGUAAAAAAAAAUCGGAUAUAGGCAACAAAUCAGAAUUGGGCAUCAAGAUUUGCAAUGUAAACGAAUGGGCUCUUCGUUAAAAGCCGCCGCAAUAUGCUCCCACCAGUUGUGAGAUCUCUCUCGCGGCUGAGAUCACGCCUCAUCAGGCCCAGACGCCAUCAUCCUCUCAGGUAGAUUUCACCAAAGCCCUAAACUUUAUUAGUGAUAAUUUAAUUAAGAAUUUCAUUUCAUUUAUUAAAUCUUUGAUUGUUUUAUUUACAGCAAAAUAAAGCAGACGCUGCCGUGGCCGACUGUUCUUCUGUCUCACAACAUUCAACUAAUUACAGUCAGCCAAUCCGGCAAGUGUCUCCUCCCGCCUCUCCUCCUCAGCGUCCCGCUCUCAAGCGUCCGGCUCCUUCUUCACAGGUAGAUGUAAACCGAAGCCUUUAGCAGAACUCAAUGUUCAUUUCAAUUUGUUUUAAUAUAUGUAUAUUUAAUCUUCAGGAUGUUCAAGAUGAGAUGGAGCCGCCGCCAAAGAGGGCCAGACUAAAUGGGCUGUCGGCUGAGAUCACGCCUCCUCAGGCCCAGACGCCACCGUCCUAUCAGCAAAGUAAAGCAGACAGUGCCAUGGUCGACUGUUCUUCUGUUUCACAACCUUCAACUAAUAACAGUCGGCCAAUCCGGCAAGUGUCACCUCCCGCCUCUCCUCCUCAGCGUCGCGCUCUCAAGCGUCCGGCUCCUUCUUGACAGGAUGUUCAAGAUGAGAUUGUGCCACCGCCAAAGAGGGCCAGGCUGUGUUUAGCAGAAACAGAUUUGAAAUCUCAACAUUCAUCUGCUGAUGGGCUGUUGGCUGAGGUCACGCCACCUCAGGUCCAGUAGUUUAUCAAAGUCUCUCUCAAUUCAUCUGUAACCAGUGUAGUGUAACGUUUAGCUGUGUUUAAAAAAAAUUUACAGUAAAGUUAAAUGUUAGUAGAAACGGUUCUUACUGUAUCUUUAUUUGUAUGUGUAAACUUUUACCUCCUCAUGGUCAAGUUUGUCCUCCCUCCCCUCCUCCUCAGCAUCGCUCACGCAAGCGUCCGGCUCCAUGCAGUGUUGCCAACUCUUUUCAAUGGAAAGUAGCUAAAGCUUGCUUGGAAAGUCGCUAAAUUACGUCAUUGCGUCAUUAUCAUAACCGUGACAUCAUCACGUCGUAUUUGCAUUCUUGCUACAUUGGCUUUUUAACGUUUCUCUUUCUCUAUGAACGGUCACUAAUGUAAUUUUAAUACACAGGAUUGCAUAAAAAUGUUUUCUCGUUCAUUUAUCUGCUUCUGUUCUCAUGGAACGAAAUAUAUUCAUGAUACAAAAAGCAGAAAAAUGCUGGAAGUGCUUCUCGGGUGUAAAAAAGUGUGUAAAUACCUCCGGUGCUCUUCAGUGGAGGGAUCCACAUAUAUUUUAAAAUAGGGUCUGAGGCACUCAGGAGGAUAAAGAUUAAAAAGCCUUUAUUAAUACAUGGCUAAGUAGAAUAAAAAC